Molecule: long non-coding RNA, 203 nt
Filed under: Glycine max (soybean)
Lineage: Eukaryota; Viridiplantae; Streptophyta; Magnoliopsida; Fabales; Fabaceae
Description: long non-coding RNA (GMAX_LNC002791)
Source: RNAcentral
AAUAAUUUUUGGAUGAUGUCGAUUAGGAACUGUUUGGUUGGUUCAUCCGGUGAUGCUUUUUAGGAUGCCUCGACUGGUAAUUUUUCUUGGCCGAUGUCGCAUAGGAUUUUUUUUCGAUCAAAAUUUGUAAUGGAGUCUUUUUGCUGUUGAGGUCGGUUAUAUUUUUCUUUGCCUAUUCAAUUACUGCAGUCCAAUGUCACCCG